AGAGUUUGACCCUGGCUCAGAUUGAACGCUGGCGGCAUGCCUUACACAUGCAAGUCGAGCGGCAGCGCGGGGGCAACCCUGGCGGCGAGCGGCGAACGGGUGAGUAAUACAUCGGAACGUGUCCUGUAGCGGGGGAUAACCUGUCGAAAGAUAGGCUAAUACCGCAUACGACCUACGGGUGAAAGCGGGGGACCGCAAGGCCUCGCACUAUAGGAGCGGCCGAUGUCGGAUUAGCUAGUUGGCGGGGUAAAAGCCCACCAAGGCAACGAUCCGUAGCUGGUCUGAGAGGACGAUCAGCCACACUGGAACUGAGACACGGUCCAGACUCCUACGGGAGGCAGCAGUGGGGAAUUUUGGACAAUGGGGGCAACCCUGAUCCAGCCAUGCCGCGUGAGUGAAGAAGGCCUUCGGGUUGUAAAGCUCUUUCGGCGGGGACGAAACGGUUCGUGACAACACCACGGACUAAUGACAGUACUCGCAGAAGAAGCACCGGCUAACUACGUGCCAGCAGCCGCGGUAAUACGUAGGGUGCAGGCGUUAAUCGGAAUUACUGGGCGUAAAGCGUGCGCAGGCGGCUCCUUAAGUCAGAUGUGAAAUCCCCGGGCUUAACCUGGGAACUGCGUUUGAAACUGGGGAGCUUGAGUGUGGAAGAGGGGGGUGGAAUUCCAGGUGUAGCAGUGAAAUGCGUAGAGAUCUGGAGGAACACCGAUGGCAAAGGCAGCCCCCUGGGCUAACACUGACGCUCAUGCACGAAAGCGUGGGGAGCAAACAGGAUUAGAUACCCUGGUAGUCCACGCCCUAAACGAUGUCAACUAGUUGUCGGGGAAGUUAUUCCUUGGUAACGAAGCUAACGCGUGAAGUUGACCGCCUGGGGAGUACGGCCGCAAGGUUAAAACUCAAAGGAAUUGACGGGGACCCGCACAAGCGGUGGAUUAUGUGGAUUAAUUCGAUGCAACGCGAAAAACCUUACCUACCCUUGACAUGCUAGGAAGCUCGCAGAGAUGUGAGUGUGCCCGAAAGGGAACCUAGACACAGGUGCUGCAUGGCUGUCGUCAGCUCGUGUCGUGAGAUGUUGGGUUAAGUCCCGCAACGAGCGCAACCCUUGUCAUUAGUUGCCACAUUAAGUUGGGCACUCUAAUGAGACUGCCGGUGACAAACCGGAGGAAGGUGGGGAUGACGUCAAGUCCUCAUGGCCCUUAUGGGUAGGGCUUCACACGU
Molecule: ribosomal RNA, 1218 nt
Filed under: metagenome
Description: bacterial SSU rRNA
Rfam family: Bacterial small subunit ribosomal RNA
Source: RNAcentral